GAUGAACGCUGGCGGCGUGCCUAAUACAUGCAAGUCGAGCGAACAGACGAGGAGCUUGCUCCUUCGACGUUAGCGGCGGACGGGUGAGUAACACGUAGGUAACCUACCUAUAAGACUGGGAUAACUUCGGGAAACCGGAGCUAAUACCGGAUAAUAUUUCGAACCGCAUGGUUCGAUAGUGAAAGAUGGCUUUGCUAUCACUUAUAGAUGGACCUGCGCCGUAUUAGCUAGUUGGUAAGGUAACGGCUUACCAAGGCAGCGAUACGUAGCCGACCUGAGAGGGUGAUCGGCCACACUGGAACUGAGACACGGUCCAGACUCCUACGGGAGGCAGCAGUAGGGAAUCUUCCGCAAUGGGCGAAAGCCUGACGGAGCAACGCCGCGUGAGUGAUGAAGGUCUUCGGAUCGUAAAACUCUGUUAUUAGGGAAGAACAAACGUGUAAGUAACUGUGCACGUCUUGACGGUACCUAAUCAGAAAGCCACGGCUAACUACGUG
RNAcentral lists this ribosomal RNA (497 nucleotides) under uncultured bacterium. Its description in RNAcentral is "partial 16S ribosomal RNA". It matches the Rfam family "Bacterial small subunit ribosomal RNA", at positions 28 to 507 of the family's 1533-position model. The record is from RNAcentral.